Molecule: non-coding RNA, 45 nt
Filed under: Schistosoma margrebowiei
Lineage: Eukaryota; Metazoa; Platyhelminthes; Trematoda; Strigeidida; Schistosomatidae
Source: RNAcentral
AUCCAGCUGACGAGUCGCAAGUAGGACGAAACGUGUGUCCUGGAU